RNAcentral lists this unclassified non-coding RNA (264 nucleotides) under plant metagenome. RNAcentral's name for it is "partial contains small subunit ribosomal RNA, internal transcribed spacer 1, and 5.8S ribosomal RNA". The record is from RNAcentral.
UCUCCGUUGGUGAACCAGCGGAGGGAUCAUUACCGAGUUUACAACUCCCAAACCCAAUGUGAACCAUACCAAACUGUUGCCUCGGCGGGGUCACGCCCCGGGUGCGUCGCAGCCCCGAAACCAGGCGCCCGCCGGAGGGACCAACCAAACUCUUUCUGUAGUCCCCUCGCGGACGUUAUUUCUUACAGCUCUGAGCAAAAAUUCAAAAUGAAUCAAAACUUUCAACAACGGAUCUCUUGGUUCUGGCAUCGAUGAAGAACCAGC